AGUGAACGCUGGCGGUAGGCCUAACACAUGCAAGUCGAACGGCAGCACAGUAAGAGCUUGCUCUUACGGGUGGCGAGCGGCGGACGGGUGAGGAAUGCAUCGGAAUCUACUCUGUCGUGGGGGAUAACGUAGGGAAACUUACGCUAAUACCGCAUACGACCUACGGGUGAAAGCAGGGGAUCUUCGGACCUUGCGCGAUUGAAUGAGCCGAUGCCCGAUUAGCUAGUUGGCGGGGUAAGAGCCCACCAAGGCGACGAUCGGUAGCUGGUCUGAGAGGAUGAUCAGCCACACUGGAACUGAGACACGGUCCAGACUCCUACGGGAGGCAGCAGUGGGG
Molecule: ribosomal RNA, 337 nt
Filed under: uncultured bacterium
Lineage: Bacteria
Description: bacterial SSU rRNA
Rfam family: Bacterial small subunit ribosomal RNA
Source: RNAcentral